This is a long non-coding RNA of Hyla sarda, 580 nucleotides long. RefSeq lists it as uncharacterized. NCBI's taxonomy places the organism in Eukaryota, Metazoa, Chordata, Amphibia, Anura, Hylidae. The transcript is spliced from 3 exons. The record is from RefSeq and is a predicted model, not a curated record.
GGACGCGCGCGCAUGGUAAGGUCCCGGUCGCAAAUCUUCAUUUCGUCUGCGACCCGCGCGGGACGCCGAUGGUGACGUCACUCACAGCCGCCGCCAGGGAGAAGGAGCAAGGCACGGGCCGGGAGGAGGAUGAGGAUCUGCUGACAAUGUGAGGAGCCUAUGAUGUCCGGGCAUCAGACUCUGCAGAGAAGAUGGAGCUGGAAGAAGUCCUGGCGUCUGGACCAGAUAAAGAAGGAAAGGAAAGACAACAGAGAAGACAUCACUCAGGUCACUGAUAUAAUUGUGUGUUCUCCUGACUGUCCCAUCAGCUCUGGAGUCACUUGUAAGUUCCGUAGUGAUGAUGGGUGACAAUUUACCCCAUUCUGUGGCUCUGCAGCUGUUUCAAAACGGCAACUUCCUUAAUUCCUGAGUCUCUUCAGACAUGAUGGGAGUAGCAGCUUAGCAACAGCUGGAGAGCCACUUGAACCGAGGGGAUUGGUGGGGGUCCCAGCAGUCUGACCCCCACCAUAAAAAUGGGCAUCUUAUUUAAAAAUGCCCGGGCCUAUUUUUGGUCCCAGUCCAGCCCUGCCUGUCAGUCACU